CUACGGGAUGCAGCAGUGGGGAAUAUUGGACAAUGGGGGAAACCCUGAUCCAGCAAUGCCGCGUGUGUGAAGAAGGCCUGCGGGUUGUAAAGCACUUUCGGUUGGGAGGACUGCUUCUAGCACUAAUAUUGUUGGAAGUUGACGUUACCUUCAGAAGAAGCACCGGCUAACUCCGUGCCAGCAGCCGCGGUAAUACGGGGGGUGCAAGCGUUAAUCGGAAUUACUGGGCGUAAAGCGCGCGUAGGCGGCGAGAUCAGUCGGGUGUGAAAGCCCCGGGCUUGACCUGGGAACUGCAUCCGAUACUGGCUAGCUUGAGUACAGGAGAGGAGAGUGGAAUUCCACAUGUAGCGGUGAAAUGCGUAGAUAUGUGGAGGAUCACCAAUGGCGAAGGCAGCUCUCUGGCCUGAUACUGACGCUGAGGUGCGAAAGCGUGGGGAGCAAACAGGAUUAGAUACCCUCGUAGUC
Molecule: ribosomal RNA, 465 nt
Filed under: uncultured bacterium
Lineage: Bacteria
Description: partial 16S ribosomal RNA
Rfam family: Bacterial small subunit ribosomal RNA
Source: RNAcentral